Molecule: ribosomal RNA, 1048 nt
Filed under: Neisseria cinerea
Lineage: Bacteria; Pseudomonadati; Pseudomonadota; Betaproteobacteria; Neisseriales; Neisseriaceae
Description: bacterial SSU rRNA
Rfam family: Bacterial small subunit ribosomal RNA (bases 1-849)
Source: RNAcentral
AUUGAACGCUGGCGGCAUGCUUUACACAUGCAAGUCGGACGGCAGCACAGAGAAGCUUGCUUCUUGGGUGGCGAGUGGCGAACGGGUGAGUAACAUAUCGGAACGUACCGAGUAGUGGGGGAUAACUGAUCGAAAGAUCAGCUAAUACCGCAUACGUCUUGAGAGGGAAAGCAGGGGACCUUCGGGCCUUGCGCUAUUCGAGCGGCCGAUAUCUGAUUAGCUAGUUGGUGGGGUAAAGGCCUACCAAGGCGACGAUCAGUAGCGGGUCUGAGAGGAUGAUCCGCCACACUGGGACUGAGACACGGCCCAGACUCCUACGGGAGGCAGCAGUGGGGGAUUUUGGACAAUGGGCGCAAGCCUGAUCCAGCCAUGCCGCGUGUCUGAAGAAGGCCUUCGGGUUGUAAAGGACUUUUGUCAGGGAAGAAAAGGCUGUUGCUAAUAUCAGCGGCUGAUGACGGUACCUGAAGAAUAAGCACCGGCUAACUACGUGCCAGCAGCCGCGGUAAUACGUAGGGUGCGAGCGUUAAUCGGAAUUACUGGGCGUAAAGCGAGCGCAGACGGUUACUUAAGCAGGAUGUGAAAUCCCCGGGCUCAACCUGGGAACUGCGUUCUGAACUGGGUGACUAGAGUGUGUCAGAGGGAGGUAGAAUUCCACGUGUAGCAGUGAAAUGCGUAUAGAUGUGGAGGAAUACCGAUGGCGAAGGCAGCCUCCUGGGAUAACACUGACGUUCAUGCUGAAAAGCGUGGGUAGCAAACAGGAUUAUAUAGCCUGGUAUCCAAGGGCGAAUCUGCAUUGGUGUCCGGCUUAUCGAUCCGGUGACCCGGGGAAAAAACCAAAAAACCAACUUUUGUUUCUUUUAGUGAUGUUUAUUAAUGUGUGGCCCUGGUGUGUGAUUGUUGGUGUGUGCGUGUGUUGUGUGUGGCUGUGUGCGCGGGCACAUGUGGAUGGAUUUCUGCUGUGUGUGUGUGUGUGUGUGUGUUAUGUGUUGUUAUGAUGAUUCUUGUGCUUGUGUUGUCUCUGUUGCGUGAUGUUGUGUGUGUGUGGGUG